This 470-nucleotide ribosomal RNA is filed under the name uncultured Sphingobacteriales bacterium. RNAcentral's name for it is "bacterial SSU rRNA". It matches the Rfam family "Bacterial small subunit ribosomal RNA", at positions 916 to 1381 of the family's 1533-position model. Lineage: Bacteria; Pseudomonadati; Bacteroidota; Sphingobacteriia; Sphingobacteriales. The record is from RNAcentral.
GACGGGGCCCGCACAAGCGGUGGAGCAUGUGGUUUAAUUCGAAGCAACGCGAAGAACCUUACCAGGCCUUGACAUGCAGAGAACUUUCCAGAGAUGGAUUGGUGCCUUCGGGAACUCUGACACAGGUGCUGCAUGGUUGUCGUCAGCUCGUGCCGUGAGGUGUCGGGUUAAGUCCCAUAACGAGCGCAACCCCUACCUUUAGUUGCCAUCAGGUUAAGCUGGGGACUCUAAAGGAACUGCCUACGCAAGUAGUGAGGAAGGCGGGGAUGACGUCAAAUCAGCACGGCCCUUACGUCCAGGGCUACACACGUGCUACAAUGGCCGGUACAGAGGGCAGCUACCUGGUGACAGGAUGCAAAUCUCCAAAGUCGGUCUCAGUUCGGAUCGGAGUCUGCAACCCGACUCCGUGAAGUUGGAUUCGCUAGUAAUCGCGCAUCUGCCAUGGCGCGGUGAAUACGUUCCCGGGCCUU